RNAcentral lists this ribosomal RNA (467 nucleotides) under uncultured bacterium. Its description in RNAcentral is "partial 16S ribosomal RNA". It matches the Rfam family "Bacterial small subunit ribosomal RNA", at positions 28 to 506 of the family's 1533-position model. The record is from RNAcentral.
GACGAACGCUGGCGGCGUGCUUAACACAUGCAAGUCGAACGGAAAGGCCCUGCUUUUGUGGGGUGCUCGAGUGGCGAACGGGUGAGUAACACGUGAGUAACCUGCCCUUGACUUUGGGAUAACUUCAGGAAACUGGGGCUAAUACCGGAUAGGAGCUCCUGCUGCAUGGUGGGGGUUGGAAAGUUUCGGCGGUUGGGGAUGGACUCGCGGCUUAUCAGCUUGUUGGUGGGGUAGUGGCUUACCAAGGCUUUGACGGGUAGCCGGCCUGAGAGGGUGACCGGCCACAUUGGGACUGAGAUACGGCCCAGACUCCUACGGGAGGCAGCAGUGGGGAAUAUGGCACAAUGGGCGGAAGCCUGAGGCAGCAACGCCGCGUGCGGGAUGACGGCCUUCGGGUGGUAAACCGCUUUCGCCUGUGACGAAGCGUGAGUGAAGGUAAUGGGGAAAGAAGCACCGGCUAACUACGU